Long non-coding RNA from Alligator mississippiensis (American alligator), 4144 nucleotides. RefSeq lists it as uncharacterized. The record is from RefSeq and is a predicted model, not a curated record. The transcript is spliced from 4 exons. Lineage: Eukaryota; Metazoa; Chordata; Crocodylia; Alligatoridae.
CUGGGUUUCUGAACCUUGCAGGAAUAGGAGCUUCUGCCUGCUUAGACUGGUGGGGAGAGGGAGCUGCAGGCCAUGGCACGUACUCCCAGGGCUGGGAGAGCUGGAAAGUGGGAAGAUGGUCCGGUACUGACAUGGAAGUAAUGAAGACAUUAAUUGAAGAACAGAAUUCAGACAGCAUCUCGGAGGAAGAGCAUGAAAAUGAAUUGUUGCCGGUUGAGAAGCAUUACCAACUUGAUAAUCAAGAGGGCAUUACAUUUGUACAAACACUUGCACAUCUCCUCAAAGGAAACAUUGGAACUGGCCUUCUAGGACUUCCACUUGCAAUAAAAAAUGCAGGUGUUGUGAUUGGACCCAUCAGCCUUGUAUUUAUAGGAGUUGUAUUUGUUCAUUGUAUGCAUAUCUUGGUACGUUGCAGCCACUGACUUUGUCAGAGGUAAUUGUGCAGCUCUUUUUUCUGCUAUAGAAUUGUCAUUUGCUCUCUUUAUUUUUAUUUUUGAUUUUUAGCCUGUAAAGUGUCUUGAUGUUGUAAUAUUUUCAGUCCUGAUUCUGAGACCAAAAGAAGGGUCACAAAGGUCAAUGUUCAACAACUAACGUCAGCUUCUAGAUAUCACACAGGGAUGCUUAGUUGUUUGUUUGUCAUCCUCUCUUCUACAGUGCUUUGAACAAUAUUUGCUUUUAAAUACUUAAGAGCGCUUUGCUUACUGCUUGUGUACCCAACUGGGCUUAUUUACAAUUAAGCAACACCCCUGCUAUGCAAUGUGCCAGAGGUGGAAGGAGGAGAGACAAGAGCCCUGUCACUGCCCUACCCCUGCUGCCACAGCCAAGCAGCUGUUCCACAGACACUCAGGAUCCCUGGAACGGCCCCUGCACCAGGGCAGUCAGACCUGGGGAGAGAGCCCCUGCUUGACCUCAGGUGUCAUGAUUGGUUUGACCCUGAGAGGAAGAGCAAGGCCCUCCAGCUGGAAACCGUGGGGUUUUCUGGCACCUAAGGAGCAUGAGCAUGUGCCAGGCAAACACUUCCAAAGGCUGACACCUCAGAGAAAGGCAAACAAGCACAUUCAGAGCUCCCAGAUCAUUAAGCAUCUCCCUGUGAUGGGCAAGGAAGCCAUCACCCUAAAGUGGAGCAGUCACGUACUCGGGGAGUUCAAAGGUUCAAGAGUUCAAGGACAGCUUAUUGCAUUGCAGUUUUUGCUGACCUACUUUUGUAACCGCCGCUUGUGGAAAAGUACCAGGUUUAGUGGAAAAUGCGCAGAUGUGGGUUUGGUGUUACCUUAUAUGGAAAUGUUGUUUACCGCUGAUGCCUUACUCUUUACAAAAAGGCAUAAAAGAACACCCCGCCUUUUAGUCGGGGCCAUUUUGCCUCCUUGUUGGCUUAUUGUCUUUGCUCGAGCAAAUAAACUGCAGGAAGCCUUUACCUUUGUUUAACUAACUGGACAUCGUAUACGUCCCAGCUGGAUUCAGGAAGACGAUGGCAAGAAAACGGAUCAUUUGACCCGACUCAUUUAACUGCCUUGCGAAAAAUCUUGGCGAACCUCCGGCCCGGUCAGAUGGACUAUUGGUUUCUGUGGGACAAUGCCGCUACCAAACGAUUUAAAAGAAUGUCCCUUAUUACCUCCCCGCUUUUAGCUCCUCUACAAUGUUCCAAACCCUCCACUCCGCCCUCUUAUUCAGAAGAUGACUAUAGGCCUAUGUCCCAACCUCCCGGCCCUCCCCCACCAUUAAUCCCACCUGAUCUGUUCAUUCCUGUGCCAGCAGGGAACUCGGGAAAUCAUGGGGAGGUGUCACCCUGACUGCCUCCCGGCGACCGCCCAAGUCCUGAGCCUGUAGAUGGAUCAAGGCAUCCCUCUCCAGACUCAACCUCCCCGACCACUGAUUUAACUCCCAUAGGUAAUAAUACCCGACAAUGAGUACCUAACUCUAGCCUUCUGGCUCCCCUGAGAGUACCCAGUACCUGGUGAUAAUGGCCAAGUUAUCAGUCACUGGACACAUACUCCGUUCACCACCACUGACCUCUUAAAUUGGCAAGAAAAUACUCCCAGACUUAGAGACGAUCCAGAAAUAGUCCUAAGGCAUUUUAAAACUAUCUUCAUGACCCAUCCUCCCUCGUGGUCAGACAACAUGCAACUUCUCGAAAGCCUCUUAACCUCAGAUGAGAGAACCCAAGUGUUGCGCCAUGCUGACCAAUUUCUAGCCGAUCAAAACCACCCCUUGCUUAAUGGUGUACUUAGGCAAGAUCCAAAUUGGAAUUACAACAAGGAAGAAGGGAAAAAUGCAAUACAAAUGCUAAAGGAAAGUAUCUUAGAAGGACUAAAAAAGGCAGGAGAUAAAACUGCAAAUUGGUCCAAGGUGACAGGUGUUGUUCAGGGUCCAGAAGAACACCCUUCAGACUACUUUGAAAGACUCUGUAAAACUAUGUGCCAACAUGGAAACAUGGACCCCGAGUCACCUGCCACUUUGCCUGUGUUAAGACUUGUAUUCAUAAGUCAGGCUAGUGAAGAUAUUAGAAAGAAAUUCCAACAUAACACCGAGGGUGUUGAGGGCAAAUCCAUGGCCGAAAUCUUGGCCAUUGCUACUAAAACCUUUAAUGGAAGAGAAGAAAAAAGAAAAACAAAGGGAAGACCAAUCCAACAUUCUCAUGUUGGCAGCAGUAAUUCAGCCGUCAAAUCCCUAUGGAAACAAUAUGCCCCGAGGCCCUUUGCGCCUAGACCACCGGGCUGCACCCACCAACCAUAUGGGCCCAAUGUAUGCCAUUACUGUAAACAGGAAGGACACUGGAAGAGAGAGUGUAAACUAAGACCAAAAAGGUCCCCAAGUGAUAACCCUGAAAACAGAAAGUUUAAGAACCCUCCGUUCGCUACUGUUACCCCAGAUUUUGCUCAAAACCAAUUUGACGUCUGACGUGAUGAGGGAGAUUCUACAUGCCACCUUUUGCAACUAUGCUCUGUCCAACCCAAAGAAGUCACCCUAAACUGCAGCGCUCAAAACCCUCUGAUACCCCUAGAAAUAGGAGGACACGUCUACAAGUGCCUGCUAGACACAGGGGCAACUUUUUCCAGUAUUUCCAAAGGACAUCUUUCACCAAGUGGAAGACAAGUCACAGUUAUGGGAAUCGAAGGUAGACCCUUCCGUUGCUCACUUUCUCAACCCACAAACAUCAAAGUUUGCCCCCUUUCAGCAGAACACUCUUUUCUUCUAGCAACUGGUCCUGUAAACCUUCUUGGACGGGAUCUUCUUUGCAAGCUACAAGCCACCAUACACUGCUCACCCAACGGAAUUACCCUAAUGUUUCCGUCCUCCCAGAUCCCUAUGCUAGCUACAGCGCUUGCAGUUACGGAGAACUCGAGCUUGCAGUCUCUUCCCCUUGUUCUAAAAGAAAAGGUACCCCAGAACUUUGGGGCCUCACCUCCAGCUCCGUGGGAGUGUUAAAAUCUGCAGAUCCUGUCAAAAUUCUAAUUCGUACCAAUGUCGAACCACCUAGAGUACCCCAAUACCCUUUAAGAACAGAGGCAAUUGAGGGACUUAAGCCUUUAAUUGAAGAUUUUUUUAAACAAGGAAUUUUAAUUCCCUGUCAGUCCCCUUGUAACACUCCCAUACUUCCAGUAAAAAAGCCUAAGCCUGGUCCAGACGGGAAGCCCAUUUAGCGUUUUGUUCAAGACCUCAGACAAAUUAAUAAGUAUGUCAUUCCUUGACAUCCUGUUGUUUCUAACCCCAAUACUAUCUUAACUGCAAUACCCCCUGACACUGCUGUUUAUACAGUAGUAGACCUCUGUUCAGCUUUCUUCAGCAUCCCCAUCCACCCUGAAUCCCAAUAUCUUUUUGCCUUCACCUGGGGUUCUUCUCAACUGACCUGGACAAGGUUGCCCCAGGGAUAUGUAGAAUCUCCCAGCAUUUUUUCUCAGAUUCUUCACAAAGAUUUGCAAGAUGUUACCUUUCCUAACUCCUCAUCCCUCUUAAUAUACGUGGAUGAUUUUCUCUUAUGCUCUACCUCAUCAGAGGCAUCUACCAGGACACCAUCGUCUUGCUUACUGCGCUAGCCGCCAAGGGUCACAAGGUGUCACCAAGCAAGCUUCAGUUCUGUAAAUCCACUGUUAAAUACUUAGGACACGUCUUAGAGCCAGGCCAAUGACGCCUUAGUGAUGACAGA